RNAcentral lists this long non-coding RNA (191 nucleotides) under Rhipicephalus microplus (southern cattle tick). Its description in RNAcentral is "uncharacterized LOC119162970". Lineage: Eukaryota; Metazoa; Arthropoda; Arachnida; Ixodida; Ixodidae. The record is from RNAcentral.
CAGGAAUUACCAAGGCCACAAGACAUGCUGGCAACAUUUGCAACCCCAAGAAGAAGAAAGCAGGCAAAGGUCGACACCCCAGAGAAGGCUUUUCUGCGAGCUCGCACAGCAAGACUUGCCUCGGAGCAGCAGAGAUCAAGGAAAGCAAUAAAAAAACUUCAGCAGUUUAAGAGGCGCCUUAAAAAACAAAA